RNAcentral lists this microRNA precursor (138 nucleotides) under Cucumis sativus (cucumber). RNAcentral describes it as "pre miRNA mir-399". It matches the Rfam family "mir-399 microRNA precursor family". Rfam says of the family: mir-399 was identified in both Arabidopsis thaliana and Oryza sativa computationally and was later experimentally verified. mir-399 is thought to target mRNAs coding for a phosphatase transporter. The record is from Rfam by way of RNAcentral. Lineage: Eukaryota; Viridiplantae; Streptophyta; Magnoliopsida; Cucurbitales; Cucurbitaceae.
CCAAGAAUAACAGUGCGAGUCUCUAUUGGCAGAGAUUUAUUAUUAUCUCAAAGAAAAAUAAAAAAAUAUUUUUGUUUUUGCUUCUUUUUUCGAUCUUCUCCUUCUUCUGCCAAAAGAGACUUGCCCUGCCAUUCCAUU